CCCAACUAUCCCUAUUAAUCAUUACGUCAAUCCUAGAAACCAACAAAAUAAGAUCGAACGUCCUAUUUCAUUAUUCCAUGCUAAUGUAUUCAAGCGAUUGCCUGCUUUAAACACUCUAAUUUUUUCAAAGUAACAGUCCUGUUUCCCCGCAACACCAAAUUAAUGGCAUUACGGUUCUUCAAGAAGGAGGGACCACCGAAGCAAGUACAUACCGGAGGCACGACCAACCUGAUGAUCCCGAAAUUCAACUACGAGCUUUUUAACUGCAACAACUUUAAUAUACGCUAUUGGAGCUGGAAUUACCGCGGCUGCUGGCACCAGACUUGCCCUCCAA
RNAcentral lists this unclassified non-coding RNA (334 nucleotides) under uncultured Glomerales. Its description in RNAcentral is "sequence contains 18S rRNA gene". The record is from RNAcentral. Lineage: Eukaryota; Fungi; Glomeromycota; Glomeromycetes; Glomerales; Glomeraceae. RNAcentral also lists the same sequence under 1 other name.